This 291-nucleotide ribosomal RNA is filed under the name Escherichia coli. RNAcentral's name for it is "partial 16S ribosomal RNA". It matches the Rfam family "Bacterial small subunit ribosomal RNA", at positions 1 to 288 of the family's 1533-position model. RNAcentral also lists the same sequence under 1 other name. The record is from RNAcentral. Lineage: Bacteria; Pseudomonadati; Pseudomonadota; Gammaproteobacteria; Enterobacterales; Enterobacteriaceae.
AAAUUGAAGAGUUUGAUCAUGGCUCAGAUUGAACGCUGGCGGCAGGCCUAACACAUGCAAGUCGAACGGUAACAGGAAGCAGCUUGCUGCUUCGCUGACGAGUGGCGGACGGGUGAGUAAUGUCUGGGAAACUGCCUGAUGGAGGGGGAUAACUACUGGAAACGGUAGCUAAUACCGCAUAAUGUCGCAAGACCAAAGAGGGGGACCUUCGGGCCUCUUGCCAUCGGAUGUGCCCAGAUGGGAUUAGCUUGUUGGUGGGGUAACGGCUCACCAAGGCGACGAUCCCUAGCU